Long non-coding RNA from Pogonomyrmex barbatus (red harvester ant), 504 nucleotides. Lineage: Eukaryota; Metazoa; Arthropoda; Insecta; Hymenoptera; Formicidae. The record is from RefSeq and is a predicted model, not a curated record.
UUAUUACGAUAAUAUGAUAUACGAAGUUCUCCGAUUAUUGCGUGCUAUGCUGUUAUAUGUUGUUUUUUUUUCAACAUAAUUCUGGAUGAGUCUAUAAUUAUGCAAUAAUAUUGGUUGCGCGCGCCGAUAACAACCCCUUUUUCAUUGUAUAUACUUGCCGAUGACAUCACCAUCCCUGGUCUCUCAAUCGUUCUGUCUGUUGAAGUGUAUUGGAAGUGAAUGUUAUUCUUAAAUUAAACAUCUCAUUAAUUUUUAUGAAGAAUUUUCUAUGUGUGAAAUAUAUUGUGUAUUGAUAAAUUAGAAAAAAUUAUAAAUCAACAAAAAAGUGCAAAAAGUAAUUCUUGUGCGAUAUAAUCAUUUAGUGCGGCGCAAUAAAUAUAUAUGAAGGAAGUAACUACCUGGUCGAUAUUGUCCUUGGUGCAUAGAGGUUAAACAAAACUGAAUGUAACGAAAGUGAUUCUAUAUAUGUUUGAACGCGUUUAUAAUAAGAAAAUGCGUAUAUAA